This 253-nucleotide ribosomal RNA is filed under the name uncultured bacterium. Its description in RNAcentral is "partial 16S ribosomal RNA". It matches the Rfam family "Bacterial small subunit ribosomal RNA", at positions 524 to 776 of the family's 1533-position model. The record is from RNAcentral.
UACGUAGGGUGCAAGCGUUGUCCGGAAUUAUUGGGCGUAAAGAGCUCGUAGGCGGUCUGUUGCGUCGGCUGUGAAAACCCGGGGCUCAACCCCGGGCCUGCAGCCGAUACGGGCAGACUAGAGUUCGGCAGGGGAGACUGGAAUUCCUGGUGUAGCGGUGAAAUGCGUAGAUAUCGGGAGGAACACCAGUGGCGAAGGCGGUUGCCUGGAGCUUUGCUGACGCUGAGGCGCGAAAGCGUGGGGAGCGAUCCGG